RNAcentral lists this ribosomal RNA (499 nucleotides) under uncultured bacterium. Its description in RNAcentral is "partial 16S ribosomal RNA". It matches the Rfam family "Bacterial small subunit ribosomal RNA", at positions 28 to 507 of the family's 1533-position model. The record is from RNAcentral.
GACGAACGCUGGCGGCGUGCCUAAUACAUGCCAGUCGAGCGAAGUUUUUCUGGUGCUUGCACUAGAAAAACUUAGCGGCGAACGGGUGAGUAACACGUAAAGAACCUGCCUCAUAGACUGGGACAACUAUUGGAAACGAUAGCUAAUACCGGAUAACAGUAUUUCUCGCAUGAGAGAUAUUUAAAAGUUGGUUAUGCUAACACUAUGAGAUGGCUUUGCGGUGCAUUAGCUAGUUGGUGGGGUAAAGGCCCACCAAGGCGACGAUGCAUAGCCGACCUGAGAGGGUGAUCGGCCACACUGGGACUGAGACACGGCCCAGACUCCUACGGGAGGCAGCAGUAGGGAAUCUUCCGCAAUGGGCGAAAGCCUGACGGAGCAACGCCGCGUGAGUGAAGAAGGAUUUCGGUUCGUAAAGCUCUGUUGUUAGGAAAGAAUGGAUAUGUAGUAACUAUACAUGUAAGAGACGGUACCUAACCAGAAAGCCACGGCUAACUACGUG